RNAcentral lists this ribosomal RNA (974 nucleotides) under Proboscia inermis. Its description in RNAcentral is "partial Bacterial large subunit ribosomal RNA". It matches the Rfam family "Bacterial large subunit ribosomal RNA", at positions 1955 to 2925 of the family's 2925-position model. Lineage: Eukaryota; Bacillariophyta; Melosirophyceae; Probosciales; Probosciaceae. The record is from RNAcentral.
GGUAGCGAAAUUCCUUGUCGGGUAAGUUCCGACCUGCACGAAUGGUGUAACCAUGGCCUCGCUGUCUCCACCCGAGACUCAGUGAAAUUGAAAUUGCAGUGAAGAUGCUGUGUACCCGCACCUAGACGGAAAGACCCCGUGAACCUUUACUACAGCUUGGCACUGAACAUUGACCCUACAUGUGUAGGAUAGGUGGGAGACUAUGAAGCAUUGUCGCUAGAUGAUGUGGAGUCUACCUUGAAAUACCACCCUUGUACGUUUGAUGUUCUAACAUUGCGCCCUAAUCGGGCGUGUGGACAGUGUCUGGUGGGUAGUUUGACUGGGGCGGUCUCCUCCCAAAGCGUAACGGAGGAGCACGAAGGUUGGCUAAUCCUGGUCGGACAUCAGGAGGUUAGUGCAAUGGCAUAAGCCAGCUUAACUGCGAGACAGACACGUCGAGCAGGUACGAAAGUAGGUCAUAGUGAUCCGGUGGUUCUGAAUGGAAGGGCCAUCGCUCAACGGAUAAAAGGUACUCCGGGGAUAACAGGCUGAUACCGCCCAAGAGUUCAUAUCGACGGCGGUGUUUGGCACCUCGAUGUCGGCUCAUCACAUCCUGGGGCUGAAGUCGGUCCCAAGGGUAUGGCUGUUCGCCAUUUAAAGUGGUACGCGAGCUGGGUUUAGAACGUCGUGAGACAGUUCGGUCCCUAUCUGGUGUGGGCGUUGGAUGAUUGAUGGGAGCUGCUCCUAGUACGAGAGGACCGGAGUGGACGAACCGCUGGUGUUCGGGUUGUCAUGCCAAUGGCAUUGCCCGGUAGCUACGUUCGGAAUCGAUAACCGCUGAAAGCAUCUAAGCGGGAAGCGAGCCCAGAGAUGAGUCAUCCCAGACAGUUUAACUGUCCUGAAGGGUUGUUGUAGACUACAACGUUGAUAGGCAGGGUGUGGAAGCGUCGUAAGGCGUUAAGCUAACCUGUACUAAUUGCCCGUGCGGCUUAACC